UACGUAGGAUCCAAGCGUUGUCCGGAUUUACUGGGUGUAAAGGGUGCGCAGGCGGACUGGUUAGUCUGGGGUGAAAUCUCAUCGCUUAACGGUGAAACUGCCUUAGAUACUGCCAGUCUUGAAUCAGCGAGAGGUUCGUGGAAUUCCGAGUGUAGCAGUGAAAUGUGUAGAUAUUCGGAAGAACACCAGUGGCGAAGGCAGCGAACUGGCGCUCGAAUUGACGCUCAGGCACGAAAGCAUGGGGAUCAAACAGG
Molecule: ribosomal RNA, 254 nt
Filed under: uncultured bacterium
Lineage: Bacteria
Description: partial 16S ribosomal RNA
Rfam family: Bacterial small subunit ribosomal RNA
Source: RNAcentral